ACAGGGAUUGCCCCAGUAACGGCGAGUGAAGCGGCAGCAGCUCAAAUUUGAAAUCCGGGGCGCCCGAGUUGUAAUUUGCAGAGGAUGCUUUUGGCGAGGUCCCUGGAACGGGACGCCGCAGAGGGUGAGAGCCCCGUCUGGUCGGACGCCUAGCCUCUGUAAAGCUCCUUCGACGAGUCGAGUAGUUUGGGAAUGCUGCUCAAAACGGGAGGUAUAUGUCUUCUAAAGCUAAAUACCGGCCAGAGACCGAUAGCGCACAAGUAGAGUGAUCGAAAGAUGAAAAGCACUUUGAAAAGAGGGUUAAACAGUACGUGAAAUUGUUGAAAGGGAAGCGCCCGUGACCAGACUCGGGCCCGGAGGAUCGCCCGGGUCACUCCGCCGGGCGGGCCAGCAUCGGUUCGGCGGGGGACAAAGGAACGUGGCUCCCCCCCGGCGCGCAAUGCCCCGCGGCGGACCGAGGUCGCGCUCCGGUCACCGGCGACCCGUCUUGAAACACGGACCAAGGAGUCGUCUUCGUAUGCGAGUGUUCGGGUGUAAACCCCUACGCGGAAUGAAAGUGAACGCAGGUGAGGCGCAUCAUCGACCGAUCCCGAUGUUCUCGGACGGAUUUGAGUAGGAGCAUACGGGGCCGGACCCGAAAGAAGGUGAACUAUGCCUGUGUAGGGUGAAGCCAGAGGAAACUCUGGUGGAGGCUCGGUUCUGACGUGCAAAUCGAUCGUCAAACAUGGGGCGAAAGACUAAUCG
Molecule: ribosomal RNA, 744 nt
Filed under: Hirsutella shennongjiaensis
Lineage: Eukaryota; Fungi; Ascomycota; Sordariomycetes; Hypocreales; Ophiocordycipitaceae
Description: partial large subunit ribosomal RNA
Rfam family: Eukaryotic large subunit ribosomal RNA
Source: RNAcentral